GAUGAACGCUAGCGGCAGGCUUAAUACAUGCAAGUCAAGGGGGUAGCAAUACAACCGGCGCACGGGUGAGUAACGCGUACACAACAUACUAUAUACUGGAGUAUAGCUUUGGGAAACUGAAGGUAAUCCUCCAUAACAUUGCGAGAGGGCAUCUGAUUGCAAUUAAAGUUUCGGCGGUAUAUGAUUGGUGUGCGUUUGAUUAGCUAGUUGGUAGGGUAACGGCCUACCAAGGCGACGAUCAAUAGCUGGCGUGAGAGCGCGACCAGCCACACUGGAACUGAGACACGGUCCAGACUCCUACGGGAGGCAGCAGUAAGGAAUAUUGGUCAAUGGAGGGAACUCUGAACCAGCCAUGCCGCGUGAAGGAUGACGGCCCUCUGGGUUGUAAACUUCUUUUGGAUGGGGCGAAAAAACGGGAUUUAUCCUGGACUGACGGUACCAUCAGAAUAAGCACCGGCUAACUCCGUG
This 468-nucleotide ribosomal RNA is filed under the name uncultured bacterium. RNAcentral describes it as "bacterial SSU rRNA". It matches the Rfam family "Bacterial small subunit ribosomal RNA", at positions 28 to 507 of the family's 1533-position model. The record is from RNAcentral.